This 253-nucleotide ribosomal RNA is filed under the name uncultured prokaryote. Its description in RNAcentral is "partial 16S ribosomal RNA". It matches the Rfam family "Bacterial small subunit ribosomal RNA", at positions 524 to 776 of the family's 1533-position model. The record is from RNAcentral.
UACGGGGGGGGCAAGCGUUGUUCGGAAUUACAGGGCGUAAAGGGCGCGUAGGCGGCCUGUUAAGUUGGAUGUGAAAUCCCCGGGCUCAACCUGGGAACUGCAUUCAAAACUGACAAGCUAGAGUAUGGUAGAGGGUGGUGGAAUUUCCUGUGUAGCGGUGAAAUGCGUAGAUAUAGGAAGGAACACCAGUGGCGAAGGCGACCACCUGGACUGAUACUGACACUGAGGUGCGAAAGCGUGGGGAGCAAACAGG